Molecule: unclassified non-coding RNA, 228 nt
Filed under: Hevea brasiliensis (rubber tree)
Lineage: Eukaryota; Viridiplantae; Streptophyta; Magnoliopsida; Malpighiales; Euphorbiaceae
Source: RNAcentral
UUUCCUCUGCUUUAGGACACAUUCUUGUUGUAGCCUGUGGGUAUUUGGUGUGUCUACCAAAUAUUUUUGUAUGCAAAGAUUAGACAGAUGCCAACCGUGAGAGCCUUUUCGGUAUUUUCUAAAAAAAAAAAAAAGGGAAUAGAGAACAGGUUCACANNNNNNNNNNNUUCGGCUGUACUAUGUUCAAACUUAUGGUAGGAACUUCCCAGGUUGAAUUCAUAAUAGGAG